ACAGAGGUGGGCGGGUAGAGAAUACCGAGGCGCUGGAGAGAACUCGGGUGAAGGAACUAGGCAAAAUGGUACCGUAACUUCGGGAGAAGGUACGCUCUUGAUGGUGAAGUCCCUUGCGGAUGGAGCUGACGAGAGUCGCAGAUACCAGGUGGCUGCAACUGUUUAUUAAAAACACAGCACUGUGCAAAAUCGUAAGAUGACGUAUGCGGUGUGACGCCUGCCCGGUGGGGGAAGGUUAAUUGAUGGGGUUAGACUUC
This 257-nucleotide ribosomal RNA is filed under the name Vibrio parahaemolyticus. Its description in RNAcentral is "partial 23S ribosomal RNA". It matches the Rfam family "Bacterial large subunit ribosomal RNA", at positions 1657 to 1898 of the family's 2925-position model. Lineage: Bacteria; Pseudomonadati; Pseudomonadota; Gammaproteobacteria; Vibrionales; Vibrionaceae. The record is from RNAcentral.